RNAcentral lists this ribosomal RNA (440 nucleotides) under uncultured bacterium. RNAcentral's name for it is "partial 16S ribosomal RNA". It matches the Rfam family "Bacterial small subunit ribosomal RNA", at positions 338 to 795 of the family's 1533-position model. The record is from RNAcentral.
CCUACGGGAGGCAGCAGUGGGGAAUAUUGCACAAUGGGGGAAACCCUGAUGCAGCGACGCCGCGUGAGUGAAGAAGUACCUCGGUACGUAAAGCUCUAUCAGCAGGGAAGAAAAUGACGGUACCUGACUAAGAAGGCCCGGCCAACUACGGGCCAGCAGGCGCGGUAAAACGGAGGGGGCAAGCGUGCUCCGGAUUUACUGGGGGGAAAGGGAGCGUAGGUGGCAGCGCAAGUCAGGAGUGAAAGCCCGGGGCUUAACCCCGGGACUGCUGUGGAAACUGUGCGGCUGGAGUGCAGGAGGGGUAUGCGGAAUUCCUGGUGUAGCGGUGAAAUGCGUAGAUAUUAGGAGGAACACCGGUGGCGAAGGCGGCUUACUGGACUGUAACUGACGUUGAGGCUCGAAAGCGUGGGGAGCAAACAGGAUUAGAUACCCGUGUAGUC